GACGAACGCUGGCGGCGUGCUUAACACAUGCAAGUCGAACGGAAAGGCCCUGCUUUUGUGGUGUUCUCGAGUGGCGAUCGGGUGAGUAACACGUGAGUAACCUGCCCUUGACUUUGGGAUAACUUCAGGAAACUGGAGCUAAUACCGGAUAGGAGCUCCUGCUGCGUUGUGGGGGUUGGAAAGUUUCGGCUGUUGGGGAUGGACUCGCGGCUUAUCAGCUUGUUGGUGGGGUAGUGGCUUACCAAGGCAUUGACGGGUCGGCCGCCUGAGAGGGUGACCGGCGACAAUGGGACUGAGAUACGGCGCAGACGCCUACGGGAGGCAGUAGGGGGGAAUAUUGCACAAUGGGCGCGAGCCUGAUGCAGCAACGCUGCGGGCGGGAUGACGGCCUUCGGGUUGUAAAACGCUUUCGCCUGUGACGAAGCGUGAGUGACGGUAAUGGGUAAAGAAGCACCGGCUAACUACGUG
RNAcentral lists this ribosomal RNA (468 nucleotides) under uncultured bacterium. Its description in RNAcentral is "partial 16S ribosomal RNA". It matches the Rfam family "Bacterial small subunit ribosomal RNA", at positions 28 to 507 of the family's 1533-position model. The record is from RNAcentral.